Molecule: small RNA, 81 nt
Filed under: Flavobacterium swingsii
Lineage: Bacteria; Pseudomonadati; Bacteroidota; Flavobacteriia; Flavobacteriales; Flavobacteriaceae
Description: Flavo-1 RNA
Rfam family: Flavo-1 RNA
Source: RNAcentral
GUUUUGCGUUAGGGAUUGAAGUGAAAAUCCUUUUUUUGAAUUUUUCUUCAAAAAAGAUUGCAACGUAAAGCCCGACCCUUG